This 382-nucleotide ribosomal RNA is filed under the name uncultured bacterium. Its description in RNAcentral is "bacterial SSU rRNA". It matches the Rfam family "Bacterial small subunit ribosomal RNA", at positions 29 to 400 of the family's 1533-position model. The record is from RNAcentral.
AAUGAACGCUGGCGGCGCGCCUAAUACAUGCAAGUCGAGCGAGAAGACGUAGCAAUACGUUUGUAAAGCGGCGAACGGGUGAGGAAUACAUGGGUAACCUACCCUCGAGUGGGGAAUAACUAGCCGAAAGGUUAGCUAAUACCGCGUACGCUUCUUGGACUUCGGUUCAGGGAGGAAAGCGAUACCGUGGGUAUCGCGCCCUUGGAUGGGCUCAUGUCCCUAUCAGCUUGUUGGUGAGGUAACGGCUCACCAAGGCUUCGACGGGUGGCUGGUCUGAGAGGACGAUCAGCCACACUGGCACUGCGACACGGGCCAGACUCCUACGGGAGGCAGCAGUAAGGAAUAUUGCGCAAUGGGCGAAAGCCUGACGCAGCGACGCCGC